Molecule: long non-coding RNA, 800 nt
Organism: Gossypium arboreum
Lineage: Eukaryota; Viridiplantae; Streptophyta; Magnoliopsida; Malvales; Malvaceae
Exons: 2
Source: RefSeq, a predicted model, not a curated record
AUGUGUAAAUCUCAGGGAAAAUAAAAAACAAAUAGAACGUGAUUGAGGCUUAAUUAAAGAUUGGCGCAAAAGGGGAGGGACCAAAUGCGAAAUUCACCCAGAGUAGCUAAUUGGCCUCUAAAGACUAAACGGUGACGUCUUUAUUUUGUCAUUAAACCUUAAAAAAUUGUUUGAAUGGCACUCUGUCGUUUUCUACAGCAAUUGAAGCAAAAUCCUUCCCCAUAUCCAUCUUCAUUUGGCCGAUUAAGAAGCCAAAUCCCUAGCCUCUCUUGAUUUUCCCUCAACCGAUUCUAACACCCCUUUUUUAAGCACCGAUCUACCUCUAUCAAUGGUGACGAGUAGAUUCGGGCUUCAAGGGACGACCAUCUAGGCCACGAGGUUCCAUCUACACUCCGAUUUCAACGAAGAAGACGGAGUCUCUUAGCACAUUCGCAAGGUUCGACUGUACGGAGGAAAGCCACUCGUGGGGAAGCUGCAAUGCGUGCGAGCAGCAGUUGGUGACUUGGGAUUUCCAGAGUCUUCCCCCAUUCGGGCUGUUUGGGCUAAUUUCGGGAUUGGGCCUACUAGGGUAUUAGUUUAUUUCGGCUAGAAUUUAAAUUUAAUGUUUGUCAGAUAUUAAUUUGGUUAAUUGGGUCAUGGGCUAAUGGACUUUUAUUGUAUUGGUUUAUUAUUGUUUUUUAAUUUUUGGUUUUUUGGUUUUCUAACAGGCCCGGGCAAAAUGGGCCUAUUACAACUGUAAUUGUUUUGCUAUUCUAUUUCCAUACAUUUAUAUAGUAUUAUAUAAAAUUUUUAUCUGAUAA